Small nuclear RNA from Oryctolagus cuniculus (rabbit), 101 nucleotides. The record is from Ensembl. Lineage: Eukaryota; Metazoa; Chordata; Mammalia; Lagomorpha; Leporidae.
GUGCUUUGACAGCAUAGAUAUUAAACUUGGAACAAUGCAGAGAUUAGUAUGGCCCUUGGGCAAGGAUGACAGUACAAAUUUGUGAAGUGUUCUAUAUUUAA